GAUGAACGCUGGCGGCGUGCCUAAUACAUGCGAGUCGAGCGAACAGACGAGGAGCUUGCUCCUCUGACGUUAGCGGCGGACGGGUGAGUAACACGUGGAUAACCUACCUAUAAGACUGGGAUAACUUCGGGAAACCAGAGCUAAUACCGGAUAAUAUAUUGAACCGCAUGGUUCAAUAGUGAAAGACGGUUUUGCUGUCACUUAUAGAUGGAUCCGCGCCGCAUUAGCUAGUUGGUAAGGUAACGGCUUACCAAGGCAACGAUGCGUAGCCGACCUGAGAGGGUGAUCGGCCACACUGGAACUGAGACACGGUCCAGACUCCUACGGGAGGCAGCAGUAGGGAAUCUUCCGCAAUGGGCGAAAGCCUGACGGAGCAACGCCGCGUGAGUGAUGAAGGUCUUCGGAUCGUAAAACUCUGUUAUUAGGGAAGAACAAAUGUGUAAGUAACUAUGCACGUCUUGACGGUACCUAAUCAGAAAGCCACGGCUAACUACGUG
RNAcentral lists this ribosomal RNA (497 nucleotides) under uncultured bacterium. RNAcentral's name for it is "partial 16S ribosomal RNA". It matches the Rfam family "Bacterial small subunit ribosomal RNA", at positions 28 to 507 of the family's 1533-position model. The record is from RNAcentral.